Molecule: unclassified non-coding RNA, 211 nt
Filed under: soil metagenome
Description: partial contains 5.8S ribosomal RNA, internal transcribed spacer 2, and large subunit ribosomal RNA
Source: RNAcentral
AACAUCGCGCACCUGCGGGAACCUGCGGAAGGAUCAUUACAGACUGACCACUGUGUCGUGGCUCUGCCAACCCCCGCGAACCUUAUACUUGUACGUUGCCUCGGCGGGUUCUUUCCCGCCGCUGGCCCUUACGCAAACGCUCCGACUAGCUCCGCGCCCCGUCUGAACGAGAAAACUUUUUAAACGAGUAAAAACUUUCAACAACGGAUCU